UACGGAGGGUGCAAGCGUUAUCCGGAUUUACUGGGUUUAAAGGGUGCGUAGGUGGCGCUGUAAGUCGGGUGUGAAAUUUCGGAGCUUAACUCCGAAACUGCAUUCGAUACUGCGGUGCUUGAGGACUGGAGAGGAGACUGGAAUUCAUGGUGUAGCAGUGAAAUGCGUAGAGAUCAUGAGGAAGACCAGCGGCGAAGGCGGGUCUCUGGACAGUUCCUGACACUGAGGCACGAAGGCCAGGGGAGCAAACGGG
RNAcentral lists this ribosomal RNA (253 nucleotides) under uncultured bacterium. RNAcentral describes it as "partial 16S ribosomal RNA". It matches the Rfam family "Bacterial small subunit ribosomal RNA", at positions 524 to 776 of the family's 1533-position model. The record is from RNAcentral.